GCUGGCGGCACGCCUAACACAUGCAAGUCGAACGAAGUAGCAAUACUUAGUGGCAGACGGGUGAGUAACAUGUAGGUAUCUACCCUUUGGCCUGGAAUAACACGAGGAAACUUGUGCUAAUACCGGAUAAGUCUUUACAGAGAAAGCUUUAUGCACCAUUGGAUGAGCCUGCACUUGAUUAGUUUGUUGGUGGGGUAAUGGCCUACCAAGACUGUGAUCAAUAGCUGAUUUGAGAGGAUGAUCAGCCACAUUGGGACUGAGACACGGCCCAAACUCCUACGGGAGGCAGCAGUGGGGAAUCUUGCACAAUGGAGGAAACUCUGAUGCAGCGAUGCCGCGUGAGUGAAGAAGGCCUUUGGGUUGUAAAGCUCUUUCGUCGGGGAAGAAAAUGACUGUACCCGAAUAAGAAGGUCCGGCUAACUUCGUGCCAGCAGCCGCGGUAAUACGAAGGGACCUAGCGUAGUUCGGAAUUACUGGGCUUAAAGAGUUCGUAGGUGGUUGAAAAAGUUGGUGGUGAAAUCCCAGAGCUUAACUCUGGAACUGCCAUCAAAACUUUUCAGCUAGAGUAUGAUAGAGGAAAGCAGAAUUUCUAGUGUAGAGGUGAAAUUCGUAGAUAUUAGAAAGAAUACCAAUUGCGAAGGCAGCUUUCUGGAUCAUUACUGACACUGAGGAACGAAAGCAUGGGUAGCGAAGAGGAUUAGAUACCCUCGUAGUCCAUGCCGUAAACGAUGUGUGUUAGACGUUGGAAAUUUAUUUUCAGUGUCGCAGCGAAAGCGAUAAACACACCGCCUGGGGAGUACG
Molecule: ribosomal RNA, 801 nt
Filed under: uncultured Pelagibacteraceae bacterium
Lineage: Bacteria; Pseudomonadati; Pseudomonadota; Alphaproteobacteria; Candidatus Pelagibacterales; Candidatus Pelagibacteraceae
Description: bacterial SSU rRNA
Rfam family: Bacterial small subunit ribosomal RNA
Source: RNAcentral